AUUGAACGCUGGCGGCAUGCCUUACACAUGCAAGUCGAACGGUAACAGGUCUUCGGAUGCUGACGAGUGGCGAACGGGUGAGUAAUACAUCGGAACGUGCCCAGACGUGGGGGAUAACGAGGCGAAAGCUUUGCUAAUACCGCAUACGAUCUAAGGAUGAAAGCAGGGGACCGCAAGGCCUUGCGCGUUUGGAGCGGCCGAUGGCAGAUUAGGUAGUUGGUGGGAUAAAAGCUUACCAAGCCGACGAUCUGUAGCUGGUCUGAGCGGACGACCAGCCACCCUGGGACUGAGACACGGCCCAGACUCCUACGGGAGGCAGCAGUGGGGAAUUUUGGACAAUGGGCGAAAGCCUGAUCCAGCAAUGCCGCGUGCAGGAUGAAGGCCUUCGGGUUGUAAACUGCUUUUGUACGGAACGAAAAGGCUCUGGCUAAUACCUGGGGCACAUGACGGUACCGUAAGAAUAAGCACCGGCUAACUACGUGCCAGCCGCCGCAGUAA
Molecule: ribosomal RNA, 498 nt
Filed under: uncultured bacterium
Lineage: Bacteria
Description: partial 16S ribosomal RNA
Rfam family: Bacterial small subunit ribosomal RNA
Source: RNAcentral